RNAcentral lists this ribosomal RNA (116 nucleotides) under Octodon degus (degu). Lineage: Eukaryota; Metazoa; Chordata; Mammalia; Rodentia; Octodontidae. The record is from RNAcentral.
GUCUACGGCCAUACCACCCUGAACGUGCCCAAUCUCGUCUGAUCUCGAAGCUAAGCAGGGUCAGGCCUGGUUAGUACUUGGAUGGGAGAAACAACUUAGAUGACCAGUGAUUAACU